GACGAACGCUGGCGGCGUGCUUAACACAUGCCAGUCGAACGGAAAGGCCCUGCUUUUGUGGGGUGCUCGAGUGGCGAACGGGUGAGUAACACGUGAGUAACCUGCCCUUGACUUUGGGAUAACUUCAGGAAACUGGGGCUAAUACCGGAUAGGAGCUCCUGCUGCAUGGUGGGGGUUGGAAAGUUUCGGCGGUUGGGGAUGGACUCGCGGCUUAUCGGCUUGUUGGUGGGGUAGUGGCUUACCAAGGCUUUGACGGGUAGCCGACAUGAGAGGGUGACCGGCGACAUGGGGCCUAAGAGAGGGACCAGACUGCUACGGGGCGCAACAGUGGGGAGUAUGACACAGUAGGCGGGAGCGUGAUACAGAGACGCCGCGUGCGGGAUGACGGCCUUGGGGUUGUAAACCGCUUUCGCCUGUGACGAAGCGUGAGUGACGGUAAUGGGUAAAGAAGCACCGGCUAACUACGUG
RNAcentral lists this ribosomal RNA (468 nucleotides) under uncultured bacterium. Its description in RNAcentral is "partial 16S ribosomal RNA". It matches the Rfam family "Bacterial small subunit ribosomal RNA", at positions 28 to 507 of the family's 1533-position model. The record is from RNAcentral.